GACGGGGGGGGCUAGUGUUAUUCGGAAUUACUGGGCGUAAAGGGUGCGUAGGCGGUCUUUCAAGCCAGAAGUGAAAGGCUACGGCUCAACCGUAGUAAGCUUUUGGAACUGUAAGACUUGAGUGCGGGAGAGGAGAGUGGAAUUCCUAGUGUAGCGGUGAAAUGCGUAGAUAUUAGGAGGAACACCAGUAGCGAAGGCGGCUCUCUGGACUGUAACUGACGCUGAGGCACGGAAGCGUGGGGAGCAAACAGG
RNAcentral lists this ribosomal RNA (252 nucleotides) under uncultured bacterium. RNAcentral describes it as "partial 16S ribosomal RNA". It matches the Rfam family "Bacterial small subunit ribosomal RNA", at positions 524 to 776 of the family's 1533-position model. The record is from RNAcentral.